Molecule: small nucleolar RNA, 107 nt
Filed under: Gossypium arboreum
Lineage: Eukaryota; Viridiplantae; Streptophyta; Magnoliopsida; Malvales; Malvaceae
Description: Plant small nucleolar RNA R71
Rfam family: Plant small nucleolar RNA R71
About the family: R71 is a member of the C/D box family of snoRNAs containing the C (UGAUGA) and D (CUGA) box motifs. Multiple nearly identical copies of this snoRNA have been identified in Arabidopsis, and it is thought to function as a 2'-O-ribose methylation guide for 18S ribosomal RNA.
Source: Rfam by way of RNAcentral
AUUCUGUGAUGAGGGCACUUUUGUAAUAACUCUUUGUACCUUUCCCAUGCCUCAUACAAUGACUCAUCAUCCAUUUGUUGGAAAGCAGUGAUCUCGUUCCUCAACUU